AGCAGCCCGAGGGCCUCCCAAAUGUUUUACCCCCGUGACAUGUGAAAGUUUCCUGGAUUGAGCUUCACGAAAACUUUUUUUGGCUUGUUUCGUAAAUGGUCAUACCGAAGACAGCUCCUGCUGAGAUAAGGUCUAAACAUACCAGGCGGGAAGCUUGGUUUUAACGGAAGAACUCGCAAAUCGAUCAAACCGAUCAUGUCCGAUCCCUGCGCGCCUCUAAUUCAGUCUACUGCAGCGGCUGAAGGUCUAAGUCGAGUUACUGACUUACACUACAGGUAAAAAAGGAUUCACUCAUGAGCAGUUUUAUAUAGAGAGCACUCCAGGCGAAGAGGCCAGUGGUGUCACCGCACCUGUACCUCCCUUCCCCAUCAACAGCGG
Xiphias gladius (swordfish) is the source of this 378-nucleotide long non-coding RNA. RefSeq lists it as uncharacterized. The record is from RefSeq and is a predicted model, not a curated record. Lineage: Eukaryota; Metazoa; Chordata; Actinopteri; Istiophoriformes; Xiphiidae. The transcript is spliced from 3 exons.